GUUGGCUUUGGUUAACACACGUGUUAGAGAGACUAUUGGUGUUUUCAUUACUUUUUCAUAUUGUUUUUAGUAUAAAUAGUUAAGUUUUUGGUUUUAGUGGUUUUACUAACACAUCUAGUUUCGGUUGUGGUUUAACAACAAAAGCCUGACUAUUUUUUUUUCUCUGUCUGCAAUAAUCAAUAUAGCUUAUAAUCUCAACCACACUGAUCAUUCUCCUUCGUGUCUUUUCUAUCCCACGUGACAUUGGCGAAAUCGACAGUGCCUCUGGCACAACUGAAAGCCAUUAAGCCCAAG
RNAcentral lists this unclassified non-coding RNA (294 nucleotides) under Melitaea cinxia (Glanville fritillary). RNAcentral describes it as "misc RNA ENSMCXG00005016715.1". Lineage: Eukaryota; Metazoa; Arthropoda; Insecta; Lepidoptera; Nymphalidae. The record is from RNAcentral.